Planococcus citri (citrus mealybug) is the source of this 819-nucleotide long non-coding RNA. RefSeq lists it as uncharacterized. NCBI's taxonomy places the organism in Eukaryota, Metazoa, Arthropoda, Insecta, Hemiptera, Pseudococcidae. The record is from RefSeq and is a predicted model, not a curated record. The transcript has 2 exons.
UAUGUCUAUGAACUACAAAAAUAUAAUAGACAUAUUUUCACCAUUCUUGACUGCUCAUCCUUUGAAAAAAUUAUCAAUGAGUUGGGUAACUUACAAAGAUAAUUAACCUUAUAUAGGUUCUGAUCAGUUUUUUGGUACGUAUUUGAAAUAAUGGGUAAAAAACUAGAAAGAACCUUAUUUCAUGCGAGACAUACUUAUUCAAGAUACUCGCACUUACAAAAAGGGUAGGUAACAACGAAAGCUUCUGGGAAAGAAAAUAGGUAGGUACCUAUAUCAUUUCAAUCGAUGUAACAGCCCUUCCUUUCAUAUUUACAUACAUGCGUUAUCUUUGAUGGUUAUCAAUAAUGAUAAAUUUUCUAGGAAGCUUUUCUCAUUGAGAAUUAAUUCAGAAAAAAUGCCUACCUAGCUAAUCGUGGGCAAAGAUGAUUUUUAUUCCAUUAUGAGUAGUACCUAGUUUCAUGAAGUUAGAUAUUUUUAUGACUGAAGAAUGAAAACAAUUUUACUUUUGAUACUCGGCUUAUGUUGGCAACCAGCUGCUGAAUCGCGAGUUUUACAAGCUGAAGCAGUUAAAAUUCAGCAGCCGGAACCAGUUGCUGAAUACUAUACGUACGAAGACCCUCCAGAUUUAAGGUACCUAGAUGAUUCAGGAUCUUACCAAGGGCCGGCUUAUGCGCCAAAGGAAUUCAUGCGUAAAGAUAAUCGUGCCUUUGAAGCGAUUUGGAAAAAAAAUUGACGAUACAUAUGUAUCUACUAGUCAAUUCAAUGCAAAUUUCACCAACUAGGUACUGUAUCAGUGAAAUAAAUGGUAUUUUUUGUAGA